This 208-nucleotide ribosomal RNA is filed under the name uncultured prokaryote. RNAcentral's name for it is "partial 16S ribosomal RNA". The record is from RNAcentral.
UAUCUGACUUUUUGUUAACGUAUUUAGCCACAUAGAAACCAACAGCCAUAUAACUGGUAGCUUUAAGCGGCUCACCUUUAGCAUCAACAGGCCACAACCAACCAGAACGUGAAAAAGCGUCCUGCGUGUAGCGAACUGCGAUGGGCAUACUGUAACCAUAAGGCCACGUAUUUUGCAAGCUAUUUAACUGGCGGCGAUUGCGUACCCG